Molecule: long non-coding RNA, 309 nt
Organism: Medicago truncatula (barrel medic)
Lineage: Eukaryota; Viridiplantae; Streptophyta; Magnoliopsida; Fabales; Fabaceae
Exons: 2
Source: RefSeq, a predicted model, not a curated record
UAUGCUUUAUUUCUUACAUGCAAAGAAGAAGAAAAAAUGGUUAAAACUCUAAAGUUUAUGAACGUUAUUAUUUUCUUUCUUUCUCUUUUCCUUUUUGCACAUAACAUUUUCCUUGUUGCACAGAACUUUGACGCGUUUACUAAAUGUGUAACUGUUGGUGAUUGUCCACCAGAUACUAAGUAUAUGAAAUAUAGGUGCGAACAAAACAUAUGUAUAUGUCGUUGGAUUGUAUGAGUACUGGACCUAAUAGGUUGCCCUUACGCCAUGAAGGGAAGAAGAAAAUAAUAUAUAAUACCUUUUGUUAGAAUA